GAUGAAGAACGCAGUGAAAUGCGAUAAGUAAUGUGAAUUGCAGAAUUCAGUGAAUCAUCGAAUCUUUGAACGCACCUUGCACCCUUUGGUAUUCCGAAGGGUAUGCUCGUUUGAGUGUCAUUGUACUCUCACACUUCUAAUUCCUUUCGGGAUUGGGAGCGGUGGACUUGGGUGUUGCUGCUUUAGUUGUGGCUCACCUCAAAUAAGUUAGUGCAACUCUUGGUUGGACAUAGUACGGCGUGAUAAGUGUCUUCGCCGGCGCCUCUGUAAGGAGGGUGGCCGAUCGGGAGCUCUGUGCUUCAAACCGUCUUCGGACAAUCUUUGACAACUUGACCUCAAAUUGAGUAGGACUACCCGCUGAACUUAAGCAUAUCAAUAAGCGGAGGA
RNAcentral lists this unclassified non-coding RNA (387 nucleotides) under soil metagenome. RNAcentral's name for it is "partial contains 5.8S ribosomal RNA, internal transcribed spacer 2, and large subunit ribosomal RNA". The stretch from base 1 to 120 matches the Rfam family "5.8S ribosomal RNA", at positions 35 to 154 of the family's 154-position model. The record is from RNAcentral.